UGUAGGCGGAGGUUCCAGGUAAAUCCGGUACCUUAUUAAACGCUGAGGUGUGAUGACGAGGCACUACGGUGCUGAAGUGACAAAUGCCCUGCUUCCAGGAAAAGCCUCUAAGCAUCAGGUAACACGAAAUCGUACCCCAAACCGACACAGGUGGUCAGGUAGAGAAUACCAAGGCGCUUGAGAGAACUCGGGUGAAGGAACUAGGCAAAAUGGUGCCGUAACUUCGGGAGAAGGCACGCUGAUAUGUAGGUGAAGUGGUUUACCCAUGGAGCUGAAAUCAGUCGAAGAUACCAGCUGGCUGCAACUGUUUAUUAAAAACACAGCACUGUGCAAACACGAAAGUGGACGUAUACGGUGUGACGCCUGCCCGGUGCCGGAAGGUUAAUUGAUGGGGUUAUCCUCGCGGAGAAGCUCUUGAUCGAAGCCCCGGUAAACGGCGGCCGUAACUAUAACGGUCCUAAGGUAGCGAAAUUCCUUGUCGGGUAAGUUCCGACCUGCACGAAUGGCGUAAUGAUGGCCAGGCUGUCUCCACCCGAGACUCAGUGAAAUUGAACUCGCUGUGAAGAUGCAGUGUACCCGCGGCAAGACGGAAAGACCCCGUGAACCUUUACUAUAGCUUGACACUGAACACUGGUCCUUGAUGUGUAGGAUAGGUGGGAGGCUUUGAAGUGUGGACGCCAGUCUGCAUGGAGCCGCCCUUGAAAUACCACCCUUUAAUGGCUGGUGUUCUAACGUGGGCCCGUAAUCCGGGUUGCGGACAGUGUCUGGUGGGUAGUUUGACUGGGGCGGUCUCCUCCUAAAGAGUAACGGAGGAGCACGAAGGUCAGCUAAUCCUGGUCGGACAUCAGGAGGUUAGUGCAAUGGCAUAAGCUGGCUUGACUGCGAGCGUGACGGCGCGAGCAGGUGCGAAAGCAGGUCAUAGUGAUCCGGUGGUUCUGAAUGGAAGGGCCAUCGCUCAACGGAUAAAAGGUACUCCGGGGAUAACAGGCUGAUACCGCCCAAGAGUUCAUAUCGACGGCGGUGUUUGGCACCUCGAUGUCGGCUCAUCACAUCCUGGGGCUGAAGUAGGUCCCAAGGGUAUGGCUGUUCGCCAUUUAAAGUGGUACGCGAGCUGGGUUUAGAACGUCGUGAGACAGUUCGGUCCCUAUCUGCCGUGGGCGCUGGAGAACUGAGGGGGGCUGCUCCUAGUACGAGAGGACCGGAGUGGACGCAUCACUGGUGUUCGGGUUGUCAUGCCAAUGGCACUGCCCGGUAGCUAAAUGCGGAAGAGAUAAGUGCUGAAAGCAUCUAAGCACGAAACUUGCCCCGAGAUGAGUUCUCCCUGACUCCUUGAGAGUCCUGAAGGAACGUUGAAGACGACGACGUUGAUAGGCCGGGUGUGUAAGCGCAGCGAUGCGUUGAGCUAACCGGUACUAAUGAACCGUGAGGCUUAACCUU
This 1437-nucleotide ribosomal RNA is filed under the name Citrobacter koseri. Its description in RNAcentral is "partial 23S ribosomal RNA". It matches the Rfam family "Bacterial large subunit ribosomal RNA", at positions 1519 to 2925 of the family's 2925-position model. The record is from RNAcentral. Lineage: Bacteria; Pseudomonadati; Pseudomonadota; Gammaproteobacteria; Enterobacterales; Enterobacteriaceae.